Molecule: long non-coding RNA, 704 nt
Organism: Sarcophilus harrisii (Tasmanian devil)
Lineage: Eukaryota; Metazoa; Chordata; Mammalia; Dasyuromorphia; Dasyuridae
Exons: 3
Source: RefSeq, a predicted model, not a curated record
GUUAUUUCCAUUUGGCAUUAAAUGUAUCUGAUGCUUCUGCUGAAUUCAACACAGCCUGAACUUGAUAGGGUAAACUUUUUUCGUUUUUAACAAGAAAACAUUCAUGAAAAUCUUCACUUUGGUCAUUAUUUGUUCAGGAAGGAAUCUAUUAGAGUUGGGGAAGAGUGGCAAUUAAAUUUAUAUUGGCCAGAGAACUAGAGCCUUCAAAAGACACCUAAUAUUUCUAUAGCUUCCCUUCAAUUUUUUGGGUUGUGGCCAAAUUGCCUACAUUUUGGAUGGACAGGAUUACUACUUGCACUGUUGGCAACACUUCCAGAUAUUUUGCAGCUCAGAUAUGAUGCCACAAAGGUAGGGGAAUGGGAGAAUGGAGAUAUGUCAUAAUAACUUAAAAAGAAAAAUUUUAAAGAGGACAUUCCUGUCCAUCUUUUAAAGCCUAACUCAAUGUGCAUGAAGUCUUCUCUAAUCUGCCACCAGAGCCUCUAAGUACCAUGAGGAUAUGGUCAAGAAAAAAAAAAGUAGAGUUCUCAAAUUCUGCUGCAUUUUAAAAAUUGCUGAAUCCUCUUCCUAAACUAUGCUUAAAUGAUGUUGAUUGCUCUAGAACUUCUCCAGCUACUUCUCAGCUCCUGUUUAUAUGUUUUCUCCCAGUAGAAGCUCCUUGAAGGUAGGUAUUAUCCUGCUUCCAUAUGUAUUCCAAGGACUUAAUA